RNAcentral lists this long non-coding RNA (2267 nucleotides) under Pan troglodytes (chimpanzee). Its description in RNAcentral is "lincRNA". The record is from RNAcentral. Lineage: Eukaryota; Metazoa; Chordata; Mammalia; Primates; Hominidae.
GUCACAGACCCGUGGGGCUCGCGGGUAGCCGGGCCGGGGCCGUCCGUGUCCCGCGGGGCUCUGGGCGGCCGCCCGACCGAGGACCCACGACUCCGCCCUGACCCCGCCGUGUUCGCGAGACCCGGAGACCCCUUCGCGCCUUCCAGGACCGCCCCUUUCGCGACGCUGGGUGCUGUGCUUGGUCCUGGCGGCCAAGAGCGGCAGUGGCAAGGGGACCGCCCUGGCCCGAGACGCGGCCUGGCCUCGCAGCGUCGCUUGGGCACAGCCUCUCUAGGCCCCUUCUUCCUCGAUCGCGGAGGGACGCCAUUAAACGGCCACGCCGGGCUCAACUGGGACGCGGCCCACGGCGCCCAACCAGGGCCUGGGGGAGGGAAGCCGGGGCGGCGACUCCUGGGUCCUUCCAGGACCCUUGCGCAGGCCUCAUUCUCUCCCCGGAGGUCCCCUUCCCGCUGCCCUGAGGCCACUUUCCUGCCAGCAGCUGCUGGGCCGGCUCUCGGGAGAGUGCCUUGGCGUCAAGCUUAUCAGGCUGCAGGGUGGGACGCGAGUGCUGAGGGCAGCCAGACUCCCGCUCUUAGGUGCAGUUGAGGAGCCUGAGAAGGCAGUGGCUCUGCGGGAGAGGGAGACACAGGAGUAGGGCUGGUCAGCCGAGAUUCCGGAGAGACGGUUGUGGGCCGAUUCUGUGGCGAGAUUUACAAGUGAGAGGUUGGGUGACGAUUGCUCCUGGGCCAGAAAAUCUAAGCCAGUCUCGGCAAGACCUACAAGGCCAGGGCCAGUGCUCCUCAGAGGAUAUUCAUGCUCCAGGAAAGCCAAGGAUGGGCCUCCGUCAUGCUGAGAUGCUGCAGCAGGGACACCUGUGUCCCACGUGGAGCUCGGCUUCUAGCUGCAGUCAGGGCAGAAGCUGGCAGGAGGAGUUUACUGCUGUCCUCGGAAGCUUUUGGUAAGGACACUUCAUUCCUGUGUCUUGGACACCUCCCCCUAGGUCUGCUGCCCCCUCUGUGGAGACAGGCAGGGCAGCUGGAUGUGCCGUUUGUUCCCAGACUAUAUCCAUGCCAAAGCAUCCCAAGUGCAGGAAAUGUGUCCCUGGGGGCCAGUGGGGGUCUGGGGGCACAGAGGGCUGCAGAGUGAGAGCUGGCUCUCCUCUCUGCAACUUGGACAAGGCUCUGGGACCCUGUCCUCCCCAGCUUCCUCACCUGCAUGGCAGGAUACUGGCCAAGUGUGGCUUUCGAACCACAGGAGAGGGUGCAGUCAAGGCCUCACUCAGGGACCGCAGGUUCCUUUCCCUUCCCAGUCCUUCCCUGGCACUGCCUAGGUGGCUCCCUGGCCAGGGGCCAGUAGUCUAGCCAGCAGAGGGUUCACGGCCUUAUAACCUCCCAACCAGAGAGGCAGCUGCAGUUGAGCCUGUUGAUCUGAUGCUGAGGGCCCUGCCAGCUCACUGCAGAGUGGCCAGUUCUGGCCAGUUUUGCUAGGCCAGGCCCAUUUGGGGUGAGGAGAGGGUGGGAGCACCCCAGCUCUCCCCAGUAGCCUGUCAUGGUGAAGGAGGAAGCCCAUUCACCCAGAAGAGGGCCUCAGGAGGCGUCUUCAAGGUGACUGAGGUUUCCCCGCACAAGGAGAGUGCUGGAGGGAAUGGGUGCGAUGAGAGAAAUGAGUCACUCGUGCCUCCGUGAGGCCAGCCUGUGAUUGUCUUGAAGAUUCUGAGUCACAAGACAUCAGGCACACAGGCGUGAAUUGUAAAUGACUGCACAGCAGAAGGUAAGUGACUCUGGAUUAUCCAGACCAUUGACCGAGCCCUGCUCCGUGCCAGUGCUUCCUGGCCUGAGGACACGGCUCUCACAUCCAGACAGACCUGAGCAGCUAACGCAAGUGCGCAGAAGCUCGCCAAGUGCCCAGAAGAGCCAAGAGGCGAGCCAUGAAUCCCCCCUGGAGGAGAAGAGGAUGGGGAGGGCCAAACAGAAAAGAACUGAAACUGGAGGCAUCUGUUCAGGCACCCAGAGAAAGCCUCACUCGCACAAAGCAGCAAACAGAACAAACCCCAGUGCCGUCAUGGAGCCCAGACUUGAGCACACAGGGACCUUGGCGUGGAGCACGAGGGUGCCAAGGCCCGCAGGUGGCCGACUUGUGUGCUCUGGUGCCAUGCUCAGAUUUGAUGGGAUGACCCUGCAAUUGCCUGCUUUGUGAGCCGCACAGGCCUGGGUCAAAAAGACGACGGACCACCAGCCUGGGCAACACACAUGGCGAGACCUGUCUCCACUUAAAAGAUAAUUAGGGUG